Molecule: ribosomal RNA, 301 nt
Filed under: uncultured bacterium
Lineage: Bacteria
Description: partial 16S ribosomal RNA
Rfam family: Bacterial small subunit ribosomal RNA
Source: RNAcentral
CAGUCGCCGCGGGAAUACGUAGGUGGCAAGCGUUGUCCGGAAUUAUUGGGCGUAAAGGGCUCGCAGGCGGUUUCUUAAGUCUGAUGUGAAAGCCCCCGGCUCAACCGGGGAGGGUCAUUGGAAACUGGGAAACUUGAGUGCAGAAGAGGAGAGUGGAAUUCCACGUGUAGCGGUGAAAUGCGUAGAGAUGUGGAGGAACACCAGUAGCGAAGGCGGCUCUCUGGACUGUAACUGACGCUGAGGCGCGAAAGCGUGGGGAGCAAACAGGAUUAGAUACCCCCGUAGUCCCUGUCUCUUAUAC